This is a non-coding RNA of Vicia faba (fava bean), 252 nucleotides long. NCBI's taxonomy places the organism in Eukaryota, Viridiplantae, Streptophyta, Magnoliopsida, Fabales, Fabaceae. The record is from the annotation of a GenBank genome assembly.
AUGGAACUUGCAUUCUCAAAAAACAGGGCUCGUUCACCUGGCUUCUCACUUCGGAAUUCUAGAGGAAUGGUUGACCUAACGCAUGAACCAACUAUCCGAGAUUCUGCCUUCCGCUUUGAAAACAUUGGGAAGGGGUCGGGCUUUCAGCUGAUUCGAAAGGGAUGGUCAAGCCAAGGAAAGAUUCGAUUGCCGGCAAGCGGGAAGGUCAAGUGGGUUUUGUUAUAUACACAAUGUCAUGGAUGGAUUAAAUAA